UCUUUUCUUGGUUUAUCCAUCUUAAGGCUAAUGGACAAUGUUAAACCCAAAGAAAGAAGGUGAAGGAAGGAAAUGCAGGAUGAAGAAGAAGAAUGAAUGGAUAUAGAGAAAAGCAAAGAUAGACAGGAGAAUGGCUGAGAAAGGACAUUAAGAAACUAACCUGCAUGUCCAAGAGUAGACCUGCUGAUGAAGCUUUAGACUC
RNAcentral lists this long non-coding RNA (202 nucleotides) under Elaeis guineensis (African oil palm). Its description in RNAcentral is "long non-coding RNA (EGUI_LNC023414)". The record is from RNAcentral. Lineage: Eukaryota; Viridiplantae; Streptophyta; Magnoliopsida; Arecales; Arecaceae.